This is a long non-coding RNA of Mytilus californianus (California mussel), 672 nucleotides long. RefSeq lists it as uncharacterized. NCBI's taxonomy places the organism in Eukaryota, Metazoa, Mollusca, Bivalvia, Mytilida, Mytilidae. The record is from RefSeq and is a predicted model, not a curated record. The transcript is spliced from 4 exons.
AAUGUCAAGAGUGUAGACAUGAGAGUACUGGUAAAUCAUGUUCAGACAUGUAAGGCUUAUUUUUAAAUAUUAGGGAAACUGAAAGAGUUUUGUAUAAAAGAAAGACAACCUUGUAGUUAUAUCAUUUCUGAAGAACAGCAGCAUAAUAAAAGGUUCAUGCUUUAUAUUUGAUUCAAUACAGAUAAAGAUGAAAAUAACUCUGGUACUGUGUAUUGUUGUUUUUGUCGGUAUGACUUCGGCUGGAAAUGGUGUUGUUAACCUUAUAGUAGAGUCAUAUGAGAUGCACCUGAACCGCAUAAAAAGAUCAUCAGAACCAGAUAUUGAAAGUUCUUUGCACAUGGUAUUCACCAGUACAGACGAAAACCAUGACGGACACAUUACAGUAGACGAGAUGGUAGACUCUGUCGUUGGGAGCACCGGCGUAAAGAUUGACCAGAACAUGAGACAGGGCUUCAAUGUUGUAUUUGGUAAUCCCAAAUACGACUUAAAUGAAAAUGGUACCCUCGAGGAAAAGGAAUAUGCUGAACUGAUUAAAUCAGGAAUUGGAAUGUAGAAAAUAAAAGCCUAGAACUUGUGUUGAGGAGACGGAGCAGGAAUUUGACAAUAUAUGUUUUUUUUUAGUAAAAACGGCGAUUCUUAUAAUAUUACUAAUAAAGAAUAGAUUCAUUUUAA